AGACUAUAUAUAGGGAGUACAUAGAGGCGGGAUUAGAAGCCAUAAAGGAUACAUCGUGAUACAUAGGUACUACAUAGGGAGACAUGGGUAAUUUCAGCAUGUUGGUGGUGUGUGUUGCUGUGAUCUUCAGUCUGGUCUCAGUGAGUCAGGCGACUCCUGUUUCUCAAACCUGUGAGACUCUUCUGAAACCUCUAGAGAUGAAAACCAUAGACCCGGUUGGAUGGGACAUGUUCCAGUAGCAAUAUCAGUGUUGCCCUUGAAGACAACAAGCUCAACUGGACGUACAAUUUCCCUUCUUCCGCGGUCUUCCUGCCAACUUGUCCAGACUGUCUUUUGAACCAGAUUACAACCACCAUCAAUGGAAACAACUUCAUGUCUCUGGAACUCUACAGUAAGAACUGAAAGGAAUUUAAUUGAUGGCACUUGAACUGAAAGGGAUUGAAGUUGAGUUUAUUCAUUAAAGAAAGCAUUCCUGACAUUUGGAGACUUGUAGACAUCCCAGCUUGGCAGACCUGUCGAGAUCCAACACCCUCUUUCAUUUAUUGUCACUUCACAUCCCGGCAUGGCACACCUGUCGAGAUCCAACGCCCUCCCUCCCACAGUUGGACCACGGACACCUGUUCAUUGCUAUUUUCUUAACUCAAUAUUUAAUUUAAAUUUCUUAACUUAAUAAUUGGAAAAAUACUGAUUCACUUUCAUUCCCUUCUGACAGGUAAGAGAAGAGAACUCUCCGCUGCUGAACUGUUUCAGUUCAAGACACAGGUUGCCUGUCUCAACUUGCCACAGGCAGUUUUCCUCAACUCUAAGACAGAACACUGUCCAGACACCACUGCAAGGAUUCCCAUCAUGGAAGAGAAGUACAUGGAGUUCAUUCAAUCUAUGGAGACCGAACCUCUCAAGGGAUUUUUUUCAGUAACAGAUUAUCUCAUUGAGAAGGCAGAAUGCCUGGGAUGGAUUUAAAGCAGGCUCAGUUAUCCUGGUGGACUGGAGCUUUCCAAUUGAUUCAGCUAAUAAAUGUCUUGGUGAGCAUCUAAUCUCACCAAGGGAUUUACUCAAGCAGAAUCACAUGGGUUUAACUGUACUCUGAAUGAAAGGGGAGUUGGUGAAACCAUUUAGACUUUUUGUCUUCAUAAAGAACCGCUUCACUAACCUUACAAAAUGAUGUUUUCUAAUGGAACUUAACAACACCUGAUGAAGGUCUGAGAUGAACUGUAAUAUCUACAGUGGCUGUGAUACUGUAAAAAAAUCUGUAGGUUUUCAACAGGUUGUAUGAACAGUUUUAUGCAUGAAAAUGAUACUAUACAUGAUGUGACUAGAGCUUCAUUCUGUGUCCUUAAAGGCCUUUCCGAUAACUACAUUUAUAUUGUUGUUGGUAUUUAUUUCUCCUGUCUUUUCGUCCUGUUUGCCCUUCAUUGAGUUUCAAUCCCUCCCAAUCGGUCCCACCCUCCCAACUGGAGAAAGGUUAUCUCUAAUCAUCCACUGCUCAUUGGUACCAUGUCAGUGAUCAGUGGAUUAACCCAAUCAGUUACAACCUCCACUGUCAGACAAUCUUUCACAGUAUUUGAUCAUGUCAUUGUCUCCUUCUGGAAUGCAUCCCUCCAUUCUGCCAUGGGUCUUCCUGGGUGUUUUUCCCUGUGUGUAUCAUAUGUGCAGAUACUGACCCAAAGAUUGUCUCUCCUAUUGCCUGACUCUGGUCCUCCAGGUCUUCCAGAACUACAGUCGUAGAUACAAUUACACCUUGAUGAUACGAUUUGACAACCGUUGCUUUACUUUGAGAAAUUAGCCAACGAUGGAUUUAGGCAGUACAUACAGAAUCUCACAAAAGUGAGUACACCCCUCACAUUUUUGUAAAUAUUUUAGUAUAUCUUUUCAUGUGACAACACUGAAGAAAUGAUGCUUUGCUACAAUGUAAAGUAGUGAGUGUACAGCUUGUAUAAAAGUGUAAAUUAGCUGUCCCCUCAAAAUAACUACACAAACAGCCAUUGAGUACACCCCUAAGUGAAAAUGUCUAAAUUGGGCCCAAUAAGCCAUUUUCCCUCCUCGGUGUCAUGUGACUCGUUAGGUGUGAAUGGGGAGCAGGUGUGUUAAAUGUGGUGUCAUCGCUCUCACACUUUCUUCAGUGUUGUCACAUGAAAAGAUAUAAUCAAAUAUUUACAAAAAUGUGAGAUACUGUACCUUUUUUGAUGAUAUGGUGAUAGAUUUAUGAUGUUACGAACGUGCCCCAAAAACAAAACUGAUGGUGAGAUACUGUAUAAUGUAAUGACAAUAAUUAAGAUGCAACGAAUAUUGCAAAAUACUCUAUAUCUAUAUAUAUUUUGUUGCAUUCUCAAAUCAUAAGUGUAUGCACCAAAACAAUAUUAUAAUGCGAAAAGUGCUAUAAAAAACAUUCAACAGAAGAA
Esox lucius (northern pike) is the source of this 2399-nucleotide long non-coding RNA. Lineage: Eukaryota; Metazoa; Chordata; Actinopteri; Esociformes; Esocidae. The record is from Ensembl.